Molecule: ribosomal RNA, 1372 nt
Filed under: uncultured bacterium
Lineage: Bacteria
Description: bacterial SSU rRNA
Rfam family: Bacterial small subunit ribosomal RNA
Source: RNAcentral
GAUGAACGCUGGCGGCGUGCCUAAUACAUGCAAGUCGAGCGAACGGACGAGAAGCUUGCUUCUCUGAUGUUAGCGGCGGACGGGUGAGUAACACGUGGAUAACCUACCUAUAAGACUGGGAUAACUUCGGGAAACCGGAGCUAAUACCGGAUAAUAUUUUGAACCGCAUGGUUCAAAAGUGAAAGACGGUCUUGCUGUCACUUAUAGAUGGAUCCGCGCUGCAUUAGCUAGUUGGUAAGGUAACGGCUUACCAAGGCAACGAUGCAUAGCCGACCUGAGAGGGUGAUCGGCCACACUGGAACUGAGACACGGUCCAGACUCCUACGGGAGGCAGCAGUAGGGAAUCUUCCGCAAUGGGCGAAAGCCUGACGGAGCAACGCCGCGUGAGUGAUGAAGGUCUUCGGAUCGUAAAACUCUGUUAUUAGGGAAGAACAUAUGUGUAAGUAACUGUGCACAUCUUGGCGGUACCUAAUCAGAAAGCCACGGCUAACUACGUGCCAGCAGCCGCGGUAAUACGUAGGUGGCAAGCGUUAUCCGGAAUUAUUGGGCGUAAAGCGCGCGUAGGCGGUUUUUUAAGUCUGAUGUGAAAGCCCACGGCUCAACCGUGGAGGGUCAUUGGAAACUGGAAAACUUGAGUGCAGAAGAGGAAAGUGGAAUUCCAUGUGUAGCGGUGAAAUGCGCAGAGAUAUGGAGGAACACCAGUGGCGAAGGCGACUUUCUGGUCUGUAACUGACGCUGAUGUGCGAAAGCGUGGGGAUCAAACAGGAUUAGAUACCCUGGUAGUCCACGCCGUAAACGAUGAGUGCUAAGUGUUAGGGGGUUUCCGCCCCUUAGUGCUGCAGCUAACGCAUUAAGCACUCCGCCUGGGGAGUACGACCGCAAGGUUGAAACUCAAAGGAAUUGACGGGGACCCGCACAAGCGGUGGAGCAUGUGGUUUAAUUCGAAGCAACGCGAAGAACCUUACCAAAUCUUGACAUCCUUUGACAACUCUAGAGAUAGAGCCUUCCCCUUCGGGGGACAAAGUGACAGGUGGUGCAUGGUUGUCGUCAGCUCGUGUCGUGAGAUGUUGGGUUAAGUCCCGCAACGAGCGCAACCCUUAAGCUUAGUUGCCAUCAUUAAGUUGGGCACUCUAAGUUGACUGCCGGUGACAAACCGGAGGAAGGUGGGGAUGACGUCAAAUCAUCAUGCCCCUUAUGAUUUGGGCUACACACGUGCUACAAUGGACAAUACAAAGGGCAGCGAAACCGCGAGGUCAAGCAAAUCCCAUAAAGUUGUUCUCAGUUCGGAUUGUAGUCUGCAACUCGACUACAUGAAGCUGGAAUCGCUAGUAAUCGUAGAUCAGCAUGCUACGGUGAAUACGUUCCCGGGUCU